AUUGAACGCUAGCGGCAUGCCUUACACAUGCAAGUCGAACGGCAGCGGGGGAGCUUGCUCCCGCCGGCGAGUGGCGAACGGGUGAGUAAUACAUCGGAACGUACCCAGUAGCGGGGGAUAGCCCGGCGAAAGCCGGAUUAAUACCGCAUACGCCCUACGGGGGAAAGGGGGGGAUCGCAAGACCUCUCACUAUUGGAGCGGCCGAUGGCUGAUUAGCUAGUUGGUGGGGUAAAGGCCUACCAAGGCGACGAUCAGUAGCUGGUCUGAGAGGACGACCAGCCACACUGGGACUGAGACACGGCCCAGACUCCUACGGGAGGCAGCAGUGGGGAAUUUUGGACAAUGGGCGAAAGCCUGAUCCAGCAAUGCCGCGUGUGCGAAGAAGGCCUUCGGGUUGUAAAGCACUUUUGUCAGGGAAGAAAUCGUUUGGGUUAAUACCCCGAGCAGUUGACGGUACCUGAAGAAUAAGCACCGGCUAACUACGUGCCAGCCGCCGCAGUAA
RNAcentral lists this ribosomal RNA (502 nucleotides) under uncultured bacterium. RNAcentral describes it as "partial 16S ribosomal RNA". It matches the Rfam family "Bacterial small subunit ribosomal RNA", at positions 29 to 523 of the family's 1533-position model. The record is from RNAcentral.